RNAcentral lists this transfer RNA (73 nucleotides) under Felis catus (domestic cat). It matches the Rfam family "tRNA". From Rfam's summary of the family: Transfer RNA (tRNA) molecules are approximately 80 nucleotides in length. Their secondary structure includes four short double-helical elements and three loops (D, anti-codon, and T loops). Further hydrogen bonds mediate the characteristic L-shaped molecular structure. tRNAs have two regions of fundamental functional importance: the anti-codon, which is responsible for specific mRNA codon recognition, and the 3' end, to which the tRNAs corresponding amino acid is attached (by aminoacyl-tRNA synthetases). tRNAs cope with the degeneracy of the genetic code in two manners: having more than one tRNA (with a specific anti-codon) for a particular amino acid; and 'wobble' base-pairing, i.e. permitting non-standard base-pairing at the 3rd anti-codon position. RNAcentral also lists the same sequence under 3 other names. The record is from Rfam by way of RNAcentral. Lineage: Eukaryota; Metazoa; Chordata; Mammalia; Carnivora; Felidae.
ACCUGGCUGGCUCAGUCGGUAGAGCAUGCGACUCUUGAUCUCAGGGUUGUAAGUUCAAGCCCCACGUUGGGUG